GGAAGUAAAAGUCGCAACAAGGUCUUCGUAGGUGAACCUGCGGAGGGAUCAUUACAGAGUUCGUGCCCUCACGGGUAGAUCUCCCACCCUGUGUUAUUAUACCUUUGUUGCUUUGGCGGGCCGCCCUCGGCUACCGGCCCCGGCUGGUACGCGCCCGCCAGAGGACCCCAAACUCUGAAUGUUAGUGUCGUCUGAGUACUAUACAAUAGUUAAAACUUUCAACAACGGAUCUCUUGGUUCUG
Molecule: unclassified non-coding RNA, 242 nt
Filed under: plant metagenome
Description: partial contains small subunit ribosomal RNA, internal transcribed spacer 1, and 5.8S ribosomal RNA
Rfam family: Eukaryotic small subunit ribosomal RNA (bases 1-54)
Source: RNAcentral